GGGCCCUUAGCUCAGUGGUUAGAGCUGUCGGCUCAUAACCGAUUGGUCCCUGGUUCGAAUCCAGGAGGGCCCA
RNAcentral lists this transfer RNA (73 nucleotides) under Hyalangium minutum. It matches the Rfam family "tRNA". From Rfam's summary of the family: Transfer RNA (tRNA) molecules are approximately 80 nucleotides in length. Their secondary structure includes four short double-helical elements and three loops (D, anti-codon, and T loops). Further hydrogen bonds mediate the characteristic L-shaped molecular structure. tRNAs have two regions of fundamental functional importance: the anti-codon, which is responsible for specific mRNA codon recognition, and the 3' end, to which the tRNAs corresponding amino acid is attached (by aminoacyl-tRNA synthetases). tRNAs cope with the degeneracy of the genetic code in two manners: having more than one tRNA (with a specific anti-codon) for a particular amino acid; and 'wobble' base-pairing, i.e. permitting non-standard base-pairing at the 3rd anti-codon position. Lineage: Bacteria; Pseudomonadati; Myxococcota; Myxococcia; Myxococcales; Archangiaceae. The record is from Rfam by way of RNAcentral. RNAcentral also lists the same sequence under 4 other names.